RNAcentral lists this ribosomal RNA (865 nucleotides) under Pseudokeissleriella bambusicola. RNAcentral's name for it is "Lentitheciaceae sp. XY-2022a partial 28S ribosomal RNA". It matches the Rfam family "Eukaryotic large subunit ribosomal RNA", at positions 56 to 935 of the family's 3401-position model. The record is from RNAcentral. Lineage: Eukaryota; Fungi; Ascomycota; Dothideomycetes; Pleosporales; Lentitheciaceae.
GAAAAGAAACCAACAGGGAUUGCCCUAGUAACGGCGAGUGAAGCGGCAACAGCUCAAAUUUGAAAUCUGGCCUCCUUCGGGGGUCCGAGUUGUAAUUUGCAGAGGGUGCUUUGGCGUCGGCAGCGGUCUAAGUUCCUUGGAACAGGACAUCACAGAGGGUGAGAAUCCCGUACGUGGUCGCCUGCCUUCGCCGUGUAAAGCCCCUUCGACGAGUCGAGUUGUUUGGGAAUGCAGCUCUAAAUGGGAGGUAAAUUUCUUCUAAAGCUAAAUACUGGCCAGAGACCGAUAGCGCACAAGUAGAGUGAUCGAAAGAUGAAAAGCACUUUGGAAAGAGAGUCAAACAGCACGUGAAAUUGUUGAAAGGGAAGCGCUUGCAGCCAGACUUGCUCGUAGUUGCUCACCCGGGCUUUUGCCCGGGGCACUCUUCUGCGGGCAGGCCAGCAUCAGUUUGGGCGACCGGAUAACGGCCUCUGUCAUGUAUCUUCCUUCGGGAUGACCUUAUAGGGGAGGCGUAAUGCGGCCAGCCCGGACUGAGGUCCGCGCAUCUGCUAGGAUGCUGGCGUAAUGGCUGUAAGCGGCCCGUCUUGAAACACGGACCAAGGAGUCUAACAUCUAUGCGAGUGUUUGGGUGUCAAGCCCGGACGCGUAAUGAAAGUGAACGGAGGUGGGAACCCUUUCGGGGGCGCACCAUCGACCGAUCCUGAUGUCUUCGGAUGGAUUUGAGUAAGAGCAUAGCUGUUGGGACCCGAAAGAUGGUGAACUAUGCUUGAAUAGGGUGAAGCCAGAGGAAACUCUGGUGGAGGCUCGCAGCGGUUCUGACGUGCAAAUCGAUCGUCAAAUUUGGGCAUAGGGGCGAAAGACUAAU